Molecule: ribosomal RNA, 1043 nt
Filed under: Triticum aestivum (bread wheat)
Lineage: Eukaryota; Viridiplantae; Streptophyta; Magnoliopsida; Poales; Poaceae
Description: partial small subunit ribosomal RNA
Source: RNAcentral
CUGUCCAGGUUUUCCUCCACGAUUCGUCUGAUACCAGUUCACUACGGUAAAGCACGAAGACGGUUGAUGGACAUCGAGAGUCGUGUACCCAACCGAGCACCCACUUCGUGCUCAGUGUCUCUAAAGUGGAAGUAUCCUCCUAGAAGAUGCUCGUCGUCCUACGGUUUUACUACAAACCGUCUCCCCGUAUAUUCUCUGGUGUACUGAAGAACCAUAUCUUUGGUAACAUCCAGUGUAUCUCUGCGUACCGGCCAGUACCCGAGCACCGUGGGAGUAGGAGGAAGUGGCUGCUUUUAAGUGAAGGGGUGCGUGUCUUGCUCUACCCGUAGGUCGGAACACGUCAUGAUGACGGAGUUGAGAGGGGUUUAAGAAGGUACACUCCAGUUCUUCGAGGUACAGUUGAGAGGACGAUCUACGUCGGCCCGGGCUGAGACAAGUGUGUCAGGUGGUGGCAGGGAGUGGUUUAGUACUAGGAUCGGCCGCUCGCGUGAGGGCGCAGUUCUAGGUACCACCUAGGUGUCGUGCGCCUCGUCUCCGUGUUGCCGCUCGUCCACCCACCGGUCAUGCAGCUCGCUACCGCUGGUGGUGGCGGUGCCACCUACCAAAGACGACCUAAACCGGUGGUACCGUUGUAAUAGGAGAAGACGCUCACGGAGCACCCGUACAAACGGAGGUUGCUCGUCUCCUGCCGGUACUCUACUCCCGACGUCCGGGGGGGAGAGGGUCACCCUUAAAAACAACGUACAACUCCUACACUCUCCGACCAAACCACGAAACUAAGCCACCAGCGGUUAGAAGAGACACGAUUAAUCACCAAAAAGCCACGUUCAAACACGUACCCAAUCGCGAUUCAAAACAAAGCAUCAAAACAUGCUUAAAUGUCAAUCUCAAACACAAAUGAACAGAGUUUGAAGGAUAGUACAUAGUUACUUGUAUAAAACUUCUUGAAACUACCCACCUUUAGACAUACAUUAAAUCUAAAUAAGACUUCUUGAACAACAUAUAGUCACUCUUGGCAGCCACUUUUAUACUUCUUAAAGGAA